GACGAACGCUGGCGGCGUGCUUAACACAUGCAAGUCGAGCGGUAAGGCCCUUUCGGGGGUACACGAGCGGCGAACGGGUGAGUAACACGUGGGUGACCUGCCUCUAGCUCUGGGAUAAGCCUGGGAAGCUGGGUCUAAUACCGGAUAUGACCUCGCGGUGCAUGUUGCGGGGUGGAAAGCCUUGUGCGGCUAGGGAUGGGCCCGCGGCCUAUCAGCUUGUUGGUGGGGUGAUGGCCUACCAAGGCGACGACGGGUAGCCGGCCUGAGAGGGCGACCGGCCACACUGGGACUGAGACACGGCCCAGACUCCUACGGGAGGCAGCAGUGGGGAAUCUUGCGCAAUGGGCGAAAGCCUGACGCAGCGACGCCGCGUGAGGGAUGACGGCCUCGGUUGUAA
This 397-nucleotide ribosomal RNA is filed under the name uncultured bacterium. Its description in RNAcentral is "bacterial SSU rRNA". It matches the Rfam family "Bacterial small subunit ribosomal RNA", at positions 28 to 428 of the family's 1533-position model. The record is from RNAcentral.